GUCCUGUAGCAAAUUGCUUCUGGGGAAGUGCUCGCCACCCUAUGUCCCGCCGGUAAAACCCUCCUGGCCAGUUGAUUUCCUCAACAGCCAGAUAGGCUUUAUCCCUUGCCUCUUGAAGAUCACUUCCGCUGGCAGUAACCCCAAGCACGCGGCCCCCAGUAGCAAUGAAGUUGCCAUCUGCAUCCAAAGCAGUUCCAGCAUGAAAUAUCUGAACUGUUGGAGCAACAUUUUGAGCUUCUUCAAGGUUUCCAAUCACAGUCCCUUUCUCAUAGGAUCCAGGGUAGCCUUUACUUGCCAUUACCACCACCAUGGCACACCCUGGGGACCAGUUCAGUGAUACUCCUCUUAAC
RNAcentral lists this unclassified non-coding RNA (350 nucleotides) under Hevea brasiliensis (rubber tree). The record is from RNAcentral. Lineage: Eukaryota; Viridiplantae; Streptophyta; Magnoliopsida; Malpighiales; Euphorbiaceae.